CUCGGAGGCCAGACGCGGGUGGCAGUAGGGGAGGCGAUGGUGGCGCGCACCAUCCCAACCUCCAGCACGCCCUAGCGGCCCACCCGGGCCUGAGCGCCUAGCGCACGGCGGGCAGCAUGCGGUGGGCCGGUCGCCGCGGGCCGCAGGUCCCGGCACAGGCGAGGGGUGGGCUGGUAGAGGUGCACCCUGGCGCGUGGCCAGGCUCGGCGUGAGCGGGUGAUGGGCUGACGCGCAGGACCCGUGUCGGGGUGGCGGCGGCAGCAGCAGCGGGGGCGGGGGCGCGCCAGCACCGGCGGGGCGGCUGUGGGCGCCGGGAAGGAGGAGGAGGAGGAGGAGAGGAGGCGGCGCUGCUCCGAGGCCGCCUGGUAGGCCACGGGCCUGCGCCUGGGACGAAUGGGACAGCCGUUUCGGGGGACCAGCCGCUUGCAACCUGAAGUUCCUCGGCUCCUUUGCAAGCUCAGAAAAUAAAAGAUGACGGAGGGCCGUCGAUGUCAAGUCCAUCUUCUUGAUGACAGGAAACUGGAACUCCUGGUGCAGCCCAAGCUUUUGGCCAAGGAGCUUCUUGACCUUGUGGCCUCUCACUUCAAUCUGAAAGAAAAGGAAUACUUCGGAAUAGCAUUCACUGACGAGACGGGACACUUGAAUUGGCUCCAGCUAGAUCGGAGAGUGUUGGAACAUGACUUCCCUAAAAAGUCAGGACCCGUGGUCUUGUACUUCUGCGUCAGGUUCUACAUAGAGAGCAUCUCCUACCUGAAGGACAAUGCCACCAUUGAGCUCUUCUUUCUGAAUGCCAAGUCCUGUAUCUACAAGGAGCUUAUUGAUGUCGACAGUGAAGUGGUGUUUGAAUUAGCUUCCUAUAUUUUGCAGGAGGCAAAGGGAGAUUUUUCCAGCAAUGAAGUCGUGAGGAGUGACUUGAAGAAGCUGCCAGCCCUUCCCACCCAAGCCCUGAAAGAGCACCCUUCCCUGGCCUACUGUGAAGACAGAGUCAUUGAGCACUACAAGAAGUUGAACGGCCAGACGAGAGGGCAGGCGAUUGUGAAUUACAUGAGCAUCGUGGAGUCUCUCCCAACCUACGGGGUCCAUUAUUAUGCAGUGAAGGACAAGCAAGGGAUACCGUGGUGGCUGGGCCUGAGCUAUAAAGGAAUCUUCCAGUAUGACUACCACGAUAAAGUGAAGCCAAGAAAGAUCUUCCAAUGGAGGCAGUUGGAAAACCUGUAUUUCCGAGAGAAGAAGUUCUCAGUGGAAGUUCAUGACCCACGCAGGGCUUCGGUGACAAGGAGGACAUUCGGGCACAGCGGCAUUGCCGUGCACACGUGGUAUGCCUGUCCAGCGCUGAUCAAGUCCAUCUGGGCUAUGGCCAUUAGCCAACACCAGUUCUACCUGGACAGGAAGCAGAGUAAGUCCAAAAUCCAUGCAGCACGAAGCCUGAGUGAGAUCGCCAUCGACCUGACUGAGACCGGCACACUGAAGACCUCGAAGCUGGCCAACAUGGGGAGCAAAGGGAAGAUCAUCAGCGGCAGCAGUGGGAGCCUGCUGUCCUCAGGUUCUCAGGAGUCAGACAGCUCACAGUCGGCCAAGAAAGACAUGCUAGCUGCCUUGAAAUCCAGGCAGGAAGCUCUGGAGGAGACCCUGCGCCAGCGGCUGGAGGAGCUUAAGAAGCUGUGUCUACGCGAAGCCGAGCUCACGGGGAAGCUGCCAGUUGAAUACCCCCUGGACCCUGGGGAGGAGCCCCCCGUCGUCCGGCGACGAAUAGGAACUGCCUUCAAGUUGGAUGAGCAGAAGAUCCUGCCCAAGGGAGAGGAAGCAGAGCUGGAACGCCUGGAACGUGAGUUUGCCAUUCAGUCCCAGAUUACUGAGGCUGCCCGCCGCCUCGCUAGUGAUCCCAACGUCAGCAAGAAGUUGAAGAAACAGAGGAAAACCUCGUACUUGAACGCACUGAAGAAGCUGCAGGAGAUUGAAAAUGCCAUCAAUGAGAACCGCAUCAAGUCGGGCAAGAAACCCACGCAGAGGGCUUCACUCAUCAUAGACGAUGGAAACAUUGCCAGCGAAGACAGCUCGCUCUCCGAUGCCCUUGUUCUGGAGGACGAAGAUUCUCAGGUUACCAGCGCAAUAUCCCCUCUGCAGUCCCCUCACAAGGGACUGCCUCCUCGGCCACCAUCGCACAACAGGCCUCCACCUCCCCAGUCUCUGGAGGGACUCAGGCAGAUGCACUACCACCGCAAUGACUAUGACAAGUCACCCAUAAAGCCCAAGAUGUGGAGCGAGUCCUCUCUGGAUGAGCCUUAUGAGAAAGUGAAGAAACGCUCUUCUCACAGCCAUUCCAGUAGCCACAAGCGCUUCCCCAGCACAGGGAGCUGUGCUGAAGCGGGGGGCGGGAGCAGCUCCUUGCAGAACAGCCCUAUCCGUGGCCUGCCUCACUGGAACUCCCAAUCCAGCAUGCCAUCCACGCCAGACCUGCGGGUCCGGAGCCCCCACUACGUCCAUUCCGCCAGGUCGGUGGACAUCAGCCCCACGCGACUGCACAGCCUCGCCCUGCACUUUAGGCACCGGAGCUCCAGCUUGGAGUCCCAGGGCAAGCUCCUGGGCUCGGAGAAUGACACGGGAAGCCCCGACUUCUACACCCCGCGGACUCGUAGCAGCAACGGCUCGGAUCCCAUGGACGACUGCUCGUCCUGCACCAGCCACUCGAGCUCGGAGCACUACUACCCAGCACAGAUGAACGCCAACUAUUCCACGCUGGCUGAGGACUCGCCGUCCAAGGCGCGCCAGCGGCAAAGGCAGCGGCGACGGGCGGCGGGCUCGCUGGGCGCCGCGGGCUCCGGCAGUCUCCCCAACCUGGCGGCGCGGGGUGGUGCGGGCGGCGCCGGCGGUGCGGGCGGCACGGGCGGGGUCUACCUGCACAGCCAGAGCCAACCCAGCUCGCAGUACCGCAUCAAGGAGUACCCACUGUACAUCGAGGGCAGUGCCACGCCCGUGGUGGUGCGCAGCCUGGAGAGCGACCAGGAGGGCCACUACAGCGUCAAGGCACAGUUCAAGACGUCCAACUCCUAUACAGCUGGGGGCCUCUUUAAGGAGAGCUGGCGCGGUGGCGACGAGGGCGACGCGGGCCGCCUGACGCCAUCGCGCUCGCAGAUCCUGCGGACUCCGUCGCUGGGCCGCGAGGGUGCCCACGACAAGGGCCGCUCUGCUGUGUCGGACGAGCUGCGCCAAUGGUACCAGCGCUGCAGCGCCUCGCACAAGGAGCACAGCCGCCUGUCGCACACCAGCUCCACCUCCUCAGACAGUGGCUCGCAGUACAGCACCUCAUCCCAGAGCACCUUCGUGGCGCACAGCAGGGUCACCAGGAUGCCUCAGAUGUGCAAGGCCACUUCAGCUGCCUUACCUCAAAGCCAGAGAAGCUCAACACCGUCGAGUGAAAUUGGAGCCACCCCACCAAGCAGUCCCCACCACAUCCUAACUUGGCAGACUGGAGAAGCAACAGCAAACUCACCCAUCAUGGAUGGGUCUGGGUCUCCAACUCACCAAAGUACUGAUGAAUAGAGGUAUCGUAAAGGAAUGUCGUGUCCUUCUGCCAUGAGUGCGUGAUCCCAGGAGCUACGACAGCUGUUUCCUGGAUUCCUCCCUGUAUCCAGAAUUAGCUGACGUCCAGUGGUACGGGCAGGAAAAAGCCAAGCCCGGGACCCUCGUGUGAGCCAACCCGGCCUGCUCUGACCACCUCGACACCAUUUGGAGUCACCUCACUGCCUCUCAUUUGCCUUACCCAGACGCACUGUCACCUGCACCAGCUUCGGCCCUCAGCACUUUUUUUCUCCCAUCUCCGCAUUCCCUUCACCCUCCAAAACCUGACUGAGGAGACAUUCUGGAAGGUUCCGGUCCCACUGUGUGUCUCCUGGCUCUCUUGGCCACAGAGAGCCAGACAGCAAUCUUCAAUGGCACCUCAGUGGCUUCCCUCUGCCAUGGCAGUUCCCAGGCCAAGGACUGUCAGGGAAGCCAGCUUUCAUCAAAUUCCUGCAGACAAGUGGCACUGACAGAGAACAGGGCAGGGGCCUCAAGUACUGGGUGAUCCAAAAGGACAAUGAAGCUGUGUCCAGGCUGCUCCACCAAGGCCAGCCAAGUAUGUCAUGAAGAGGACGCCUGGGAGGGAUGUUCGGUCUACACCUGAAAUAACCCUUUCUUCACAAGGCAGCACUUAAGGGAGUGGCUGUGACGGGCUGGGAGGGGACUUAGAAAGAAAAGACGUUCAGACACACAGAGGAGGACCACAAUCAGUUCUGUGCUGCCAAAGAUGAAACAAACUACAAAAAUACACAAAAAACAGGAGAGGGGCCAAGAAGACAUUCUUUCUGCAGCAAAACUUCAUUUAAAUUCUAAACUGUGACUACACCCUACAAGUCAAGGUCACAAGGUUGUAAAUGGCGUCCUCUGCUCAUGCCUCUCUCCUGUCUUGGGGCCACAUCCCCCUUCGCAGACAGCCUAGAAGGUACCCCAAAGUGCAAGGCAAGGAUGAGGAAGCACUGGCUGGCACUGCUGCCCCCAGAGCCUGCAGCAGCCUGGACAGGAAGGAAGCCGGGAGCAGAGUGUGCUGGAAACCCUAGUCCGUGCAGGGGGUUGAGCCCCAGACCGCCCACAAAGCUGCUUUCCUCUUGGGAUUUGUAGUAAACAUAAGGUGAUAAUUGCCAAAAGUGGUUCUCUCUCAUUAAACCAACCAGUAAAUGUGUAUCCUGUGUUUUUGCACAAGGCAUUUCAUUUUUUUUUAAAUGGGAAACCAAGGGAAAAAGCACAUUACCAUCCAUCCAAGUGUUUUAACCGUUGUGGCUCGUUUUAAUGUUUGUUACCACUUGUGUGACAAAGAGCUCAGAUGCGACUUCUCCUAUGUGUCACUUAUUCAAAGGACCCAACUAUGCCCUUAGGUGGCAAGAUUUUACUCAUGUGUCUACUAGCCAGCAGGCAGAGCAGGGUUGAAAAACAUAUCAGCUCCCGAAGGGCCCGUCUACCUACAACAUGAUCGCUCACCUUGCUGCACCAUGUUGGUCCUCAGACACCCAAAGAGGAAAAAAGGAGGAACAAAAGCACCAUGUGGGAGCUGUUUGUUUACAUGUGUUUUGAGCUAUGCUUGAUACACACCUGGAAAGCCAUCAAUCUUCAAAGGCCUCAAGAAACACUUUUCUAAUAACUAACAAGUGCACAAUCUUAGUUGGGUUACUCAAGAUGGCACAAGAAGGUCUCCGCAGAGGUGGUGUGCUGUGCUUGUUGGCGCAAGUCGGGGGGUGGGAGGGGACUUUGUUCUCCCUUGUGAUGAUUUCCUAUUGGAAAGGCAUUUCACAGCCAGGGACAGGAGCCAGGGUGGGGGUCGUUUUGUGGGAAGGCAAAACUGAAGUUAGCUUUAGCAUAAAAAGAAAAAAAAAUCUUUGUUUUUCAUGUCUGUGUAAUCCAAGAAUAACAAUAGACUCUACCAGACCAGGAGGGUAAGAUUGGACACUUAAAUAACAUCCUUAACCCCAGUGCUCCCUCUGGUGUGGCCUGGCAGGCUAUGCAAGGAGCUGAGCUGGAGAUGCUGUGUGGAGAGGAGGCUGGCCACAGCUGCCACCACUGGGGCUCAAGGGGAUAAGCUGAGGUCUGCUUUCACAGAUCCUGUGCCAAGACUGGAUUGGGAUUCCGGACUGCUGAAGGCAUUAAUAGUCCUAGAACAGUGAACCUGCAGAUUAUUUUACUAAAGAAACAAUUCUAGGGCAUGAUUGGGGAGCGGUGGUUAUUUUUGUUGAGCUACAAAUAACACAGUUUUUAAAUUUUCCUUUCCUGGUUUGGAACCAUGGUUCAUUGGACCAUUUUCCAUUCUUCUAAAUGAUCAAUGCUCAGACUGAUCAUUGGAAAAGUCAAAAGGGAACUAGAGACAGUGGCGAGGCUGCAUGAAUACAGGUUAACACAACAUGUAUUACCAUAUGUAGUCAACUUGAUCGAGCUUUAAAUUUAGCUGAGUUACAAGGAAUGGGAGGCUGACAUUCUUUCUAAGAACUUGGGUUAGAUUUGGGGAGGCAGACAGGUAUGGAAGUGGAAGCAGGAAUUACAGUUCCAGCAAACAUCAUGAUAGUCUGGUAGUAAAGACAGAGAUUAAGUAAAACAGGUUUUACUGUUUAGCUGUGUUCAAUUAAUACAAAAAUGUACAUAAAGUGUUAGUCCUUACAGACUGACACAAUCGAUGAUCAAUGUGGUGAGAAAUGUAGUAAUUGUAUACAAGCACUUGAAAACUCUUUAUAUAGCCCUAUUUGUUUAAAAAACAAAAUACAAUGAAGUAUAAAGCUCCUGGUCUGAUAUAAAGUCCCUAUUGGAUUCUUUGGAUGCGUGUAAGAAAUGACCUGUGUACACCAGGAGACUGGUGAAAACCCAUACAGACUAUGUUGUGAGCCAGGUUGACUUUAUUAUUAUAUUCAGGUGAGUGUUGAAACUGUUAAAAUUUCAGUUUGUUUUCACUCGAUAUUAGUUUAGUUCUAACUAUAGCAAACCCCAUCCAGGUGCUAUCAGAUGACCAAUUACUGCUUAGUUAACUAGGUGUAAAGUUUUACAUAUGUUAAUGUCAAUAGUUUAUUACAAGUUGUGUAAAAUGGACUCUAGUUUAAUAAUGGGGGAAAAAGGUUUAGGUUGCUCCUGAAACUGACUGUAGAGCAUGUAAAAUGACUUUACUGGAUUCUGUUCAACUGUAAUCAAAAGAUGGAUGUUGUAGACAAAGUUGCAGAAUUAAAAAAAAAAAAGAAA
Ochotona princeps (American pika) is the source of this 6750-nucleotide RNA transcript. It is a transcript of the gene named FERM domain containing 4A, with no coding region annotated. Lineage: Eukaryota; Metazoa; Chordata; Mammalia; Lagomorpha; Ochotonidae. The record is from RefSeq and is a predicted model, not a curated record. The transcript has 24 exons.